This 94-nucleotide small nucleolar RNA is filed under the name Grosmannia clavigera kw1407. RNAcentral's name for it is "Small nucleolar RNA snR60/Z15/Z230/Z193/J17". It matches the Rfam family "Small nucleolar RNA snR60/Z15/Z230/Z193/J17". From Rfam's summary of the family: The members of this family belong to the C/D class of snoRNAs which contain the C (UGAUGA) and D (CUGA) box motifs. The record is from Rfam by way of RNAcentral. Lineage: Eukaryota; Fungi; Ascomycota; Sordariomycetes; Ophiostomatales; Ophiostomataceae.
ACUUCUAUGAUGAUUUGCACCAAUAAGCAUAGUUCAUCUGAUUUCAUGAUGACAAAACGCAACCAUCGUCUUUCGCUCCCAUCUGAUUAGAUUG